CCUACGGGAGGCAGCAGUGGGGAAUAUUGCACAAUGGGGGAAAGCCUGAUGCAGCGACGCCGCGUGAGUGAAGAAGUAUUUCGGUAUGUAAAGCUCUAUCAGCAGGGGAGAAAAUGACGGUACGUGACUAAGAAGCCCCGGCUAACUCCGGGCCAGCAGCCGCGGUAAUACGGAGGGGGCGCGCGUGAUCCGGAUUUACUGGGGGUAAAGGGAGCGUAGGCGGCAAGGGAAGCCAGAAGGGAAAGCCCGCGGCUUAACUGGCGGACGUCUGUUGAAACUGGCUAGCUUGAGUGCAGGAGAGGUAAGUGGAAUUCCUGGUGUAGCGGUGAAAUGCGUAGAUAUUAGGAAGAACACCAGUGGCGAAGGCAGCUUACUGGACUGUAACUGACGCUGAGGCUCGAAAGUGUGGGUAGCAAACAGGAUUAGAUACCCCUGUAGUC
RNAcentral lists this ribosomal RNA (440 nucleotides) under uncultured bacterium. RNAcentral describes it as "partial 16S ribosomal RNA". It matches the Rfam family "Bacterial small subunit ribosomal RNA", at positions 338 to 795 of the family's 1533-position model. The record is from RNAcentral.